Neopelma chrysocephalum (saffron-crested tyrant-manakin) is the source of this 108-nucleotide long non-coding RNA. RefSeq lists it as uncharacterized. NCBI's taxonomy places the organism in Eukaryota, Metazoa, Chordata, Aves, Passeriformes, Pipridae. The record is from RefSeq and is a predicted model, not a curated record. The transcript is spliced from 3 exons.
UGAGAGUGAUGGUCACAGUCCGGUUGAGAGUGGUGGUCGCAGUCCGGUUGAGAGUGGUGGUCGCAAGGUGGUUGAGAGUGGUAGUCACAGUCUGGUUGAGGUUCUGGU